RNAcentral lists this unclassified non-coding RNA (346 nucleotides) under fungal sp. RNAcentral describes it as "partial internal transcribed spacer region". The stretch from base 1 to 46 matches the Rfam family "Eukaryotic small subunit ribosomal RNA", at positions 1786 to 1831 of the family's 1831-position model. The record is from RNAcentral. Lineage: Eukaryota; Fungi.
AAGUCGUAACAAGGUUUCCGUAGGUGAACCUGCGGAAGGAUCAUUACAAAAUGUAGAAGUUGAUGUUGUGUGUGUUGUUCUCACCCAUCUUUUUGGGUUGUGAUCACUCACUGACAUCUAACUUUCUUCAACCCACCUGUGCACUAUUGAACUGUAUCUGGCGAGUGUCUCACUGUUUCUGGGGAUUUGUUUUUGUGUACUUUGCUUCAUGCAAAUGCACCCAAACUCCCCGGGAUCAUAGCCUCGCCACCAGUAUCUCCAAACACAAACAUUUUUGACACUGACUGACGAUAACAAACAAAAACAAAUAGAGAAACAACUUUUAACAACGGAUCUCUUGGCUCUU